Non-coding RNA from Coffea arabica (coffee), 287 nucleotides. Lineage: Eukaryota; Viridiplantae; Streptophyta; Magnoliopsida; Gentianales; Rubiaceae. The record is from RefSeq and is a predicted model, not a curated record.
AAUCUCAAUCCAAUUCAAAUCUUCCAAGAAGUUAUUAUCGAACAACGGUAUGUGGAAUGCACUUCUUCAGCAAUUCAAUCUCUGAUUCUCUUUCAAAAGUUGCAUCCUGGACAUAGGGAAGCGGAGAUAAAGACGUGUAUCUGCAAAGCUAUAGCUUAUAUUGAAGAUGAACAAAAAACAAGAUGGCUCAUGGUUUGGUCGCUGGGGCAUUUGUUACACGUACGCGACCUGGUUUGCGGUGGAAGCACUGGUUGCUUCAGGAAAGAACUAUAAAAACUCCGACUCUA